Molecule: ribosomal RNA, 382 nt
Filed under: uncultured Acholeplasma sp.
Lineage: Bacteria; Bacillati; Mycoplasmatota; Mollicutes; Acholeplasmatales; Acholeplasmataceae
Description: bacterial SSU rRNA
Rfam family: Bacterial small subunit ribosomal RNA
Source: RNAcentral
AAAGCUAUGGAGACAUAGUGGAGGUUAUCAAGGAGACAGGUGGUGCAUGGUUGUCGUCAGCUCGUGUCGUGAGACGUUGGGUUAAGUCCCGCAACGAGCGCAACCCUUAUUGCUAGUUACCAUCAUUAAGUUGGGGGACUCUAGCGAGACUGCCAGUGAUAAACUGGAGGAAGGUGGGGAUGACGUCAAAUCAUCAUGCCCCUUAUGACCUGGGCUACAAACGUGAUACAAUGGCUGAAACAAAGGGCAGCGAAGCAGUGAUGUGGAGCGAAACCCAAAAAGCAGUCUCAGUUCGGAUUGAAGUCUGCAACUCGACUUCAUGAAGUUGGAAUCGCUAGUAAUCGUAGAUCAGAACGCUACGGUGAAUACGUUCUCGGGGUUU